UACGAAGGGGGCUAGCGUUGUUCGGAAUCACUGGGCGUAAAGCGCACGUAGGCGGAUGUGUCAGUCAGGGGUGAAAUCCCGGAGCUCAACUUCGGAACUGCCUCUGAUACAGCACGUCUUGAGUCCGGAAGAGGUGGGUGGAAUUCCUAGUGUAGAGGUGAAAUUCGUAGAUAUUAGGAAGAACACCGGUGGCGAAGGCGGCCCACUGGUCCGGUACUGACGCUGAGGUGCGAAAGCGUGGGGAGCAAACAGG
Molecule: ribosomal RNA, 253 nt
Filed under: Pedomicrobium sp.
Lineage: Bacteria; Pseudomonadati; Pseudomonadota; Alphaproteobacteria; Hyphomicrobiales; Hyphomicrobiaceae
Also listed under: 1 other name
Description: partial 16S ribosomal RNA
Rfam family: Bacterial small subunit ribosomal RNA
Source: RNAcentral